Molecule: long non-coding RNA, 681 nt
Organism: Camelina sativa (false flax)
Lineage: Eukaryota; Viridiplantae; Streptophyta; Magnoliopsida; Brassicales; Brassicaceae
Source: RefSeq, a predicted model, not a curated record
GGAAGAGAGGGUAGAAUAGGAAAAAUCAGAAGAAAAAAACUCCCACGCGAACGUUUCUCUCGUUGGUCUCUCCUCGGAUCCAAACCCUUGACGUCUCGGUCUCGCUGAUCUUUUUGCUUGAUUCAAGCUUCGAAACCCUAAUUUCAUUCGCCAUUAGCAUCGAUUUCAGCUCAGCUUCAGAUUCAAGGAGGCAAAAUUAGUAGCUUCUGAAGUGCUUCGGUGAUCAAAAUACAAUGUCAGCUUUGUUCAAUUUCCAUUCAUUCCUGACGGUUGUGCUGCUUGUGAUCUGCACUUGCACUUAUCUGAAGAUGCAGUUCCCUGCUAUUUUGGAGCAAAAAACUGGGUUCCGAGGAUUCUUUUGGAAAGCUGCUAGAAUAGGCGAGCGUUUGAGUCCUUGGGUCUCCGCGGGAUGCUUCAUGAUGGGUGUGUCGAUCAUUUUCUUUUGAGUGUCAGCUUCUCACAGAACCGGUUCAUGUAGAUUUAACUUCUUUGAGAUGCUUACUUUUCUGUAUGCAAAAGAUUCCAAGGGGUUGAUGAAACUGAAAGAGUAGAAUAUUAUUCUCUUUGGAUUAUGGGUAUGGUCUUGUAUUUGGUACGAUCGUGUGUUGCUUUUGAUGAUAUUGAACAUACGACAUUGGAGCCAGCCCUUACAACACAGGCUUUUUUGUGAGUGAUCAUAUA